GUCACGCAGUACGACAGACUGUUUUUACAAGUGAAUUUAUUAAUUUGUCAAUACUAUACAUUAUUAUCUGGAUAAAGAGAUGCUUCAUAGUUAUAAAUAGUCCGUCUUUAUUGAUACUUCGUGAUUUGUUCUGUUACUUUUAAAUGUCGCUUGGUAAACGUGCACGUCAACCGUAUAGGUGCUAGGAGGUCUCAAACUUGCAGUGAGGUGACUGUUUAUUUGAUUCGUCUUGAAGGUCUCACUGGGACUUUUAGACGAAGGACCGUAAGAAAAGCGCUGUUAAACAGAAAAUAACAUGACUUACACUAACAGUUUGUUUUGUUCUCUAUCUGACAUUGUAUCAGUAUUGACUAGAAGGAUAAACAGUAAAAUGGGGGAAACAAGGGGAUUAUCCCAAGGGAAGAUAGAAAAAACCGUCCCAAAUCGACGAAAAAAACCAUGAUAAAAAGAAAAAAGGCACUAAAUAUGAGCACCACGAAACCAAACAAAACAGGAUGAACUCUGCUGCUCUAGAAGGAUCACCUAGAAACAUCCCACUUAUCGUGCACAUGCGAAGUCAUCAAUUAGCAAAUAAUCUAGAUGUCUUGAAGAGGAUUUUGUCUUUGACAAUCUUCUUGAACCAUGAUGCAGAUGUCUAAACAUUAAGGAG
This 649-nucleotide long non-coding RNA is filed under the name Mytilus galloprovincialis (Mediterranean mussel). The record is from RNAcentral. Lineage: Eukaryota; Metazoa; Mollusca; Bivalvia; Mytilida; Mytilidae.